GAUGAACGCUGGCGGCGUGCCUAAUACAUGCAAGUCGAGCGAACAGAUGAGGAGCUUGCUCCUCUGACGUUAGCGGCGGACGGGUGAGUAACACGUGGAUAACCUACCUAUAAGACUGGGAUAACUUCGGGAAACCGGAGCUAAUACCGGAUAAUAUAUUGAACCGCAUGGUUCAAUAGUGAAAGACGGUUUUGCUGUCACUUAUAGAUGGAUCCGCGCCGCAUUAGCUAGUUGGUAAGGUAACGGCUUACCAAGGCAACGAUGCGUAGCCGACCUGAGAGGGUGAUCGGCCACACUGGAACUGAGACACGGUCCAGACUCCUACGGGAGGCAGCAGUAGGGAAUCUUCCGCAAUGGGCGAAAGCCUGACGGAGCAACGCCGCGUGAGAGAUGAAGGUCUUCGGAUCGUAAAACUCUGUUAUUAGGGAAGAACAAAUGUGUAAGUAACUAUGCACGUCUUGACGGUACCUAAUCAGAAAGCCACGGCUAACUACGUG
This 497-nucleotide ribosomal RNA is filed under the name uncultured bacterium. RNAcentral's name for it is "partial 16S ribosomal RNA". It matches the Rfam family "Bacterial small subunit ribosomal RNA", at positions 28 to 507 of the family's 1533-position model. The record is from RNAcentral.